GACGAACGCUGGCGGCGUGCCUAAUACAUGCAAGUCGAACGAACCGCGACUAAGUGCUUGCACUCAGUCAAGGUGAGUGGCGAACGGGUGAGUAACACGUGGGUAACCUACCUCAUAGUGGGGGAUAACAGUCGGAAACGACUGCUAAUACCGCAUAGGACAUAGGCUCACAUGAUCCAGUGAGGAAAGGUGGCGCAAGCUAUCGCUAAGAGAUGGACCCGCGGUGCAUUAGCUAGUUGGUAGGGUAAAGGCCUACCAAGGCGAUGAUGCAUAGCCGACCUGAGAGGGUGAUCGGCCACAUUGGGACUGAGACACGGCCCAAACUCCUACGGGAGGCAGCAGUAGGGAAUCUUCCGCAAUGGACGCAAGUCUGACGGAGCAACGCCGCGUGAGUGAAGAAGGUCUUCGGAUCGUAAAGCUCUGUUGUUAGAGAAGAACAGCGAAUAGAGUAACUGCUAUGCGUGUGACGGUAGCUAACCAGAAAGCCACGGCUAACUACGUG
RNAcentral lists this ribosomal RNA (502 nucleotides) under uncultured bacterium. RNAcentral's name for it is "partial 16S ribosomal RNA". It matches the Rfam family "Bacterial small subunit ribosomal RNA", at positions 28 to 507 of the family's 1533-position model. The record is from RNAcentral.